RNAcentral lists this ribosomal RNA (468 nucleotides) under uncultured bacterium. Its description in RNAcentral is "partial 16S ribosomal RNA". It matches the Rfam family "Bacterial small subunit ribosomal RNA", at positions 28 to 507 of the family's 1533-position model. The record is from RNAcentral.
GACGAACGCUGGCGGCGUGCUUAACACAUGCAAGUCGAACGGAAAGACCCUGCUUUUGUGGGGUGCUCGAGUGGCGAACGGGGGAGUAACACGUGAGUAACAUGCCCUUGACUGAGUGAUAACUUCAGGGAACUGCGGCUAAUACCGCGUAGGAGCUCCUGCUGCAUGGUGGGGGUUGGAGAGAUUCGGCGGUUGGAGAUGGACUCGCGGCUUCUCGGCUUGUUGGUGGGGUAGUGGCUUACCAAGGCUGUGACGGGUAGCCGGCCUGAGAGGGUGAACGGCCACAAGGGGACUGAGAGACGGCGCAGACGCGUACGGGAGGCAGUAGGGGGGAAUAUUGCACAACGGGCGGAAGCGUGAGGCAGCAGCGCCGCGUGCGGGAUGACGGCUUACGGGUUGUAAACCGAUUUCGCCUGAGACGUAGCGUGAGUGACGGUAAUGGGUAAAGAAGCACCGGCUAACUACGUG